Molecule: ribosomal RNA, 1468 nt
Filed under: Geobacillus sp. 46C-IIa
Lineage: Bacteria; Bacillati; Bacillota; Bacilli; Caryophanales; Anoxybacillaceae
Description: bacterial LSU rRNA
Rfam family: Bacterial large subunit ribosomal RNA
Source: RNAcentral
GAGAUUCCUGUACCACCUCCUUCCCGUUUGAGCGAUGGGGGGACGCAGGAGGAUAGGGUGAGCAGGCGGCUGGAAGAGCCUGUCCAAGCAGUGAGGCUGGCCAGCAGGCAAAUCCGCUGGCUAAAAGGCUGAGCUGUGAUGGCGACGGAUUCRAUCCGGAAGUCCCUGAUUCCACACUGCCAAGAAAAGCCUCUAGCGAGGGAAGAGGUGCCCGUACCGCAAACCGACACAGGUAGGCGAGGAGAGAAUCCUAAGGCGCGCGGGAGAACUCUCGUUAAGGAACUCGGCAAAAUGACCCCGUAACUUCGGGAGAAGGGGUGGAGCCGCAGUGAAAAGGCCCAAGCGACUGUUUAUCAAAAACACAGGUCUCUGCGAAGCCGAAAGGCGAAGUAUAGGGGCUGACACCUGCCCGGUGCUGGAAGGUUAAGGGGAGCGCUUAGCGCAAGCGAAGGUGCGAACCGAAGCCCCAGUAAACGGCGGCCGUAACUAUAACGGUCCUAAGGUAGCGAAAUUCCUUGUCGGGUAAGUUCCGACCCGCACGAAAGGUGUAACGACUUGGGCACUGUCUCAACGAGAGACCCGGUGAAAUUAUACUACCUGUGAAGAUGCAGGUUACCCGCGACAGGACGGAAAGACCCCGUGGAGCUUUACUGCAGCCUGAUAUGGAAUUUUGGUAUCGCUUGUACAGGAUAGGUGGGAGCCUGAGAAGCCGGAGCGCCAGCUUCGGUGGAGGCGGCGGUGGGAUACCACCCUGGCGGUAUUGAAAUUCUAACCCGCACCCCUUAAGCGGGGUGGGAGACAGUGUCAGGUGGGCAGUUUGACUGGGGCGGUCGCCUCCCAAAAGGUAACGGAGGCGCCCAAAGGUUCCCUCAGAAUGGUUGGAAAUCAUUCGGAGAGUGCAAAGGCACAAGGGAGCUUGACUGCGAGACGGACAGGUCGAGCAGGGACGAAAGUCGGGCUUAGUGAUCCGGUGGUUCCGCAUGGAAGGGCCAUCGCUCAACGGAUAAAAGCUACCCCGGGGAUAACAGGCUGAUCUCCCCCAAGAGUCCACAUCGACGGGGAGGUUUGGCACCUCGAUGUCGGCUCAUCGCAUCCUGGGGCUGUAGUCGGUCCCAAGGGUUGGGCUGUUCGCCCAUUAAAGCGGUACGCGAGCUGGGUUCAGAACGUCGUGAGACAGUUCGGUCCCUAUCCGUCGCGGGCGCAGGAAAUUUGAGAGGAGCUGUCCUUAGUACGAGAGGACCGGGAUGGACGCACCGCUGGUGUACCAGUUGUCCCGCCAGGGGCACCGCUGGGUAGCUAUGUGCGGACGGGAUAAGCGCUGAAAGCAUCUAAGCGUGAAGCCCCCCUCAAGAUGAGAUUUCCCAUCGCCAAAAGCGAGUAAGAUCCCUCGAAGAUGACGAGGUCGAUAGGUCCGAGGUGGAAGCGUGGCGACACGUGGAGCUGACGGAUACUAAUCGAUCGAGGGCUU